RNAcentral lists this long non-coding RNA (1908 nucleotides) under Triticum aestivum (bread wheat). Its description in RNAcentral is "long non-coding RNA (TAES_LNC021392)". The record is from RNAcentral. Lineage: Eukaryota; Viridiplantae; Streptophyta; Magnoliopsida; Poales; Poaceae.
GACGCUGAUUUCUCUAUUCCUAUUAGUUGAUCCACCCACUUCAUUCUUCCCCCUUAUAUAUUAACCUUCUGUCUUGUUGAUUCGGUCCUCUAUUUUGACCAGAUGUGGCCUGUUCUGCACGGCAUUCAGUUUAGAUUUUCUUUUAACGUGGAUUUAGUUUUUUAUUGUAUUUUGUGAGGUUAUUUUUCUUGCUGUGCAGAACUAAUAUUCUUGUGCUAGGGAUUCAGUUCCCGUCUUGCACGGAUUCAGUUUAUGCGCCACUGCUCCUAGAGGGUGCAUUUGAGUGGUGAGAAAGUGGAUGUUAAUAACUUCAUAUGGCAAUCUGAUUUUUUACGAGUGAAUUCUUUUGUUUUAUUCAGGCAAGCCUGAUUUAUAUGCAAUCACAUGGUUAAUGCUAUGUUGCAGUAUAUGCAUGCGAAGCACUGUUUUGAUUGACUUGCAAUUAUAGGUAUGUGAUAAAUUGGAAGAAAUUUAUGCCAUGUAUACCAUGUACUAACUGAAGUUUUUGCAGCCGUGUCGAAUGUAGAACCCUUGAAAAAUUUCUUUUCUGAUUCUUAUUUUCUCUGAGCUAAGACCUUGAAUCUACUUAAAGACAAACAUACAUACAUUUCCACAAAUUAUAUUAUGAUCCAUGUCAUAAGAGUUUUUGUCUACCAAACUAUCUACCUGUCAUGAACUGGAGCUAUUGUUUUUAUUUUUGUGUACAUAUUGUGUAUGAAAAUUUUCUUUUAGAGAAAGGAAAGUUUAGUAUGCUAAACAAGAGGACAGACUUACAAAUAAAGAGGUGAAAUUAAUUUGUUUACAUUAUAGCUUUUGUUCAGUUGAUUGAGUUUCACGGUGCAGGUGGGCAUGUAUGUGGGCAUGAAAAUAGUUGAAGGAAGAUUCAGUGGUUGAGCAUUAGGUACGUGCAAUUGCGUUGAUGCUCCUUCUCAAGAUCAUGCCACAAUUGGAGGAAAUUUUCCUACUAAUCUGCAACGAAUUUUAUUGGAACUAAACCAGCAUCCUACUAUUCUGCAAUCAAUUUUAGUUCACUCUUGUCUUACUAUAUAUUUUGUAGGUUAAUUCACUAUGAAUAUUUUCAUGGGCCUUAAGAUUAACCUAUCCUUAUUCCAUUGCACAAUCCCAAACCAUGUUGAAAUAUUAGUUCAAAGAUUCAUUGUGGAUUCACUGGAUUCAUGGUAUCAUUUUAGAACAGGUUUUUGCUAUGAUAAUAUACUUAAGUAGGCGUGUCUGAUUCUUUUUCGGUAAGAAGUAUUGGUGCAGAGCUUGAAGAAAACCUUGAGAUGGUCCAACUUUUCAUAAGUGUGCUAUUGUUAGAUAGUGAUUUGUAUGGUAUCUCAUAUUCUCCUUUCAGGAAAGGAGCUAUUGUUAGCACAACAACACCUGUAUUAAGGUGAUGCACUUUAUGUGUCAUUAUCGAUCAACGGGGACUCUACCAAGAUGAAGGCAUUGCCUUUAAAAGCACUAUGUCCAAUGCUUCCAUGUGUAAAAUUCAAUGACAUUGUGAUCAGUUAGAUUGCUGAGUUGUUUCGUGGCCCCUCACAAUUAUAAAUGAUGAUUCAUGUAGUAUUCAAAGCCUUCAUGUGACAUUGUUCUACUUGUUAAGAUUGAAGUUUAUUUGUCAAUCUGGCGUUAUUCUCAUGCAUGUAUAACAUGUGUUUGUUCUUAAAUCGGAUAAUAUAUUACCCUUUUUUCCUUAUAUUUUUGGGAAAAUUUGUUGUCCAUCAUGUAAUAACUAUGAAGAAUAAUAUUAUGAUUGUACUUUUUUUUCAAUGCUUUAAAAGCCAGUGUUUACCCCAUGCGACAGUAUAUGGCCUUUCUGAGUUAUACCUCUCAGAAACUUUACAAUUUUGUUCCAAGUUUGCAUCUCGGCCAUGUUCAUUUGGACAAUUCUGCAUUAUAAAAUAG